GCUGGCGGCAUGCUUUACCAUGCAAGUCCGGACGGCAGCACAGAGAAGCUUGCUUUUGGGUGGCGAGUGGCGAACCGGUGAGUAACAUAUCGGAACGUACCGAGUAAUGGGGGAUAACUAAUCGAAAGAUUAGCUAAUACCCGCAUAUUCUCUGAGGAGGAAAGCAGGGGACCUUCGGGCCUUGCGUUAUUCGAGCGGCCGAUAUCUGAUUAGCUAGUUGGUGGGGUAAAGGCCUACCAAGGCGACGAUCAGUAGCGGGUCUGAGAGGAUGAUCCGCCACACUGGGACUGAGACACGGCCCAGACUCCUACGGGAGGCAGCAGUGGGGAAUUUUGGACAAUGGGCGCAAGCCUGAUCCAGCCAUGCCGCGUGUCUGAAGAAGGCCUUCGGGUUGUAAAGGACUUUUGUCAGGGAAGAAAAAGGGCUGUUGCUAAUUAUCGACAGCUU
RNAcentral lists this ribosomal RNA (447 nucleotides) under Neisseria flavescens. Its description in RNAcentral is "bacterial SSU rRNA". It matches the Rfam family "Bacterial small subunit ribosomal RNA", at positions 35 to 478 of the family's 1533-position model. Lineage: Bacteria; Pseudomonadati; Pseudomonadota; Betaproteobacteria; Neisseriales; Neisseriaceae. The record is from RNAcentral.